AUGCAGCUCAUCCAUGUUGUGGACGGAGGCUACCACGGAGCUUCAAUGGAGCAUCGCCGGGACCGUCGAUGUUGCGAUGGAGCUUUUGCCGCGCCGCGCAAUGCUGCUAUGGAGCAUCGCCGGGGGCGUCUGUGCUUCCAUAGACUUGCAAUGGAGCAUCAGGGAGCUGCAAUGCAACGUAGGUGGUGCUGCGACCCACGGUUCUCGCCGGCGGCGGAGCUGCAAUGCAAUGCGAUGUGGUGCUCUGACCUGUCGCCGGCGACGGAGCUGCAAUGCAAUGCGAUAUGGUGCCCGGACCUGUCGCCGGCUGCGGAGCUGCAAUGCAAUGCGAUGUGGUGCCCGGACCUGCUCAUCUCGUCGGCAGCAGAAGCUCCAAUGGAACGGUGUCUUUUUUGCUGCGGCGGAGAUGACCUGCUCAUCUCGCCGGUCGUCUCUGCUACAAGGCGACCAUGA
RNAcentral lists this ribosomal RNA (453 nucleotides) under Triticum aestivum (bread wheat). RNAcentral's name for it is "partial small subunit ribosomal RNA". The record is from RNAcentral. Lineage: Eukaryota; Viridiplantae; Streptophyta; Magnoliopsida; Poales; Poaceae.